RNAcentral lists this long non-coding RNA (2864 nucleotides) under Malus domestica (apple). RNAcentral's name for it is "long non-coding RNA (MDOM_LNC003764)". Lineage: Eukaryota; Viridiplantae; Streptophyta; Magnoliopsida; Rosales; Rosaceae. The record is from RNAcentral.
GUACACCGUGUAACGUAGAGAUUGAAGAAACAAUGGAGAUGAGUAAGGAUAAUUAAAUGGUUUAAUUAUUAACGGCAAGGAUUAAUUAAUAUGUUAAUUAAUCAAACAAAUAAAGUUCGUCAAAGACCUCGGGUUAGUUUUGGGCCACAAGGCCCAAUGGGAUUUGAAUGUCAAGCCCAUCAACUCAACUUGUAUGACAACUUGAAUAAACGAAAGGCUAGAAAGCCCAAUAAACCCUUAAGGCCGGCCAAAUAGAGGAGGGUAGUGAACUUGCUUUAAUUGCAAAUUUGCCACUCUAUUAUGAGGUGGUAUAAAGGCAACUUUAUAGCCAUUUCAUCCUUAGGGGUUUCUUUUAGAGAAAAUAUGAGAACACAAUGCUCUCCUUUUCUCUCUAAGAGGCCGGCCCCCUUGGAGGAGAUUAGCUAGCAAUAUCUCAUCCUCCAAGGUCACUCAUCUCUGCUUCAAGUCCCUCCUUGGUGUGAAAAAAAUAGAGGUUCUCAAUUUUGGGAACUUGGAGAAUCCUUUCUACCAUCCUCCUCCAAGAAAUCGAUGGAACUAAGAAGCAAGGAAUAAAGGGCCUCUCCUUGGGUGAUUAGCCUUUGCUUAUGCAAAGAGGAAUCAACAAAGGUAUAAAAUAUCUCAACUCACUUUGUUCUUGAGUUGAGUCUUGGUUCACCUUUUCUACUAGGCUUUGAAUUUCAUGGGUAAUGUUUUGUUUUUGAGUGCAUACAAGCACGAUUCCACCUUUAAAUGUUAAUUGCAUGCUAUAGAUGUUGCUCAAAUGAACAUGUUUUUCAUAAAAUUUCCUUCAAGUGGUAUCAAGAGCCUAGGUCUAGUAGUUGGUGAAUCCUUUUGGGUUUUGUAGUUCAUAGUCUUUGAUUUGAAUGUUGUAAUUGUUACAAGCUUUAUUCUUGCUUCUUUGAAUGUAAAUUUUGUUAGAAAAUUUGCCAUCUCAAAUGUUGUAGAUGUAGUUCAUAUGAGCAUGAAGUUUGGAGCUAAAUUUUGGUGCUUUGUUUUUGGGAAAUUCGGCCAAAUCCAAAGGGUGGAUUUUUGGGUUCAUGUUUGUCUUGUUAAAAGUGUUUUAAGUGACAUUAGGAACCCCUAAGUACCCUAGUAUGGUAAUAUGUUUUUUCCCUUAAGUUUGAGAGUUUUUGGGGUGUCUUUGGGUGAAAAAUGUUCAUGGAGCUCUUAUGGGUUUUCAUGGAUGUUCUUCAUUGUUCUUGUUAUGUUUUUGGCAAGAACAAAAAGGUUGGGUAUUUUGAUUCAAAUUUUUGGUUGUUUACAUAAAGUUUUUGUUUGUGAUGGAUGGUUUAAAUUUUCAAUAAAUACCCAUACCAAUCACUUACACCUUUUCCUUGUUUCAAGAAACCAUGUUUUAUGGAAACCUAAUUUUUCAAACCAACCCAUCACCUUUUCAACCCAUCACCUUUAACUUUUGUUAAAAAAUUCAAAAGUGUUAUGACACCUCUCACCUACCAAAACCAGCCAACCCUACAAGUAGGGUACUUUUAGGGCUUUUAUGCAAUUACAUAAAGUUUUGAUACUUUUGUGUAUUUGUACUUUAACCCGAAAGUUUACGUUUUUACGUAAAGGCCCAAAAUCACUAAAGGACAAAUUGUUUUGCUCCUUUAAUGAUGUUUUUGUAUUUGAUGAAAUUUUUGGGUUCUAGUUGUAAUUACAUGAAGUAGUGGACUUUUGUGUUCUUACAAAGUGACCUCAAAAGUUUGUGUUUUGUAACAUAGCCCAAAAAGUUGAGGUUAUUGCAUUUGGCCCAAAUUAGUUGAGAACAAAAUAGUUUUGUAUCUUUAAAUGAGAAUUGGAUUUUCAUUUCAUUUAGUUCCAUUUAAAUCAAUUCUAUGGAAACCAAAACCAAAUGAAAAUGUUGCAUUCAAGUUUAAUUAGUUAAAGUGUUAAUUAAUUAAAGAAAGGGUGAUUAUGAACCUAAGCUUACGAUAAUUGAGCUAUGUGAAGGGCCUUCUCAAAUUUGUUUGAACCAUGGGAAUGAGUAGAUUAGAUUUUGGUUGUAAUUUGAUAUGAUCAAAUGUUGUAAAAGAGCAUAAGCUCUUCUUUACUUUGAAGUACUCCUUUCUUGUUUUAUUUGAUAUGCAUGAAAUUAGUAGUUGUGUCCAACGCCUAAUAGGAAAAACAUGCCUAAAUAUGAUUAAACGCGUAACUAAAAUCAAUCACCAUCCCUAGACCGAGAUCCAACACUAGGCUCGUGUUGGAUCUAAUCAAAGGUUCAUAGUCAUCCUAAGGCCCUAAGGCAACUAUAUAGUCCAUCAAUCAAUGCAAAUCUUAUGUUAGUAGUACCAUAUACUCUUGCUUUAAAACCGUUUUACAAGCAUAGUGGGAGUAUUAUGUACAACUAAAUCAAUCACAUGAACCAAUAGUUGUAAUAGGACCAAAUUGUUUUAAUAAGAUUAGAAUGCAUGCUUAUAUGUGAUGAGACCUAAAACCCUCAACCAAACCAUUAUUAAGUUGAUAAGCGUGAGAGUGCUUUGAACACUCUUUCGUGGCCUUCCACCGUGGUAGGCUCCGAUAGUUUGUGACUCGUACACCAACUUCACCCUAUCAUGGGGGAGUACAAAGUGCGUGCUUACACUCAAGAGGAGUUCUAUAUGCAUACAUGAUGUUGUGAAGGUAGGCAACGAGAAUGAUCAACAUCAUAUCAUUGUGAGGUUGUUCUUGAACCCCUACUCGAACUUGCAUGGUGGAAAUGACUUAACUAAGUGCAAUGAAGCCAACAUCAUAUCAUUGUGAGGCUUCAUUCUCUAGAGGCCAAAUAAGAUGGGUACUUGCUGUUGGAAAUAUGCCCUGAAAGUCAAUCUUUGGAAGAAAUCUUUCAGGACAAAUGAAUCGAUGUA